This 330-nucleotide ribosomal RNA is filed under the name uncultured Streptococcus sp. RNAcentral's name for it is "bacterial SSU rRNA". It matches the Rfam family "Bacterial small subunit ribosomal RNA", at positions 1055 to 1382 of the family's 1533-position model. Lineage: Bacteria; Bacillati; Bacillota; Bacilli; Lactobacillales; Streptococcaceae. The record is from RNAcentral.
UCAGCUCGUGUCGUGAGAUGUUGGGUUAAGUCCCGCAACGAGCGCAACCCCUAUUGUUAGUUGCCAUCAUUCAGUUGGGCACGUCUAGCGAAGACUGCCGGUAAUAAACCGGAGGAAGGUGGGGAAUGGACGUCAAAUCAUCAUGCCCCUUAUGACCUGGGCUACACACGUGCUACAAUGGUUGGUACAACGAGUUGCGAGUCGGUGACGGCGAGCUAAUCUCUUAAAGCCAAUCUCAGUUCGGAUUGUAGGCUGCAACUCGCCUACAUGAAGUCGGAAUCGCUAGUAAUCGCGGAUCAGCACGCCGCGGUGAAUACGUUCCCGGGCCUU